GCCCGGGUGGCGGAAUUGGCAGACGCACAGGACUUAAAAUCCUGUGAGGGUUUCCCUCGUGAGGGUUCGAGUCCCUCCCCGGGCA
RNAcentral lists this transfer RNA (85 nucleotides) under Acidobacteriota bacterium. RNAcentral's name for it is "tRNA-Leu". It matches the Rfam family "tRNA". From Rfam's summary of the family: Transfer RNA (tRNA) molecules are approximately 80 nucleotides in length. Their secondary structure includes four short double-helical elements and three loops (D, anti-codon, and T loops). Further hydrogen bonds mediate the characteristic L-shaped molecular structure. tRNAs have two regions of fundamental functional importance: the anti-codon, which is responsible for specific mRNA codon recognition, and the 3' end, to which the tRNAs corresponding amino acid is attached (by aminoacyl-tRNA synthetases). tRNAs cope with the degeneracy of the genetic code in two manners: having more than one tRNA (with a specific anti-codon) for a particular amino acid; and 'wobble' base-pairing, i.e. permitting non-standard base-pairing at the 3rd anti-codon position. RNAcentral also lists the same sequence under 2 other names. The record is from RNAcentral. Lineage: Bacteria; Pseudomonadati; Acidobacteriota.